RNAcentral lists this ribosomal RNA (406 nucleotides) under uncultured bacterium. RNAcentral describes it as "partial 16S ribosomal RNA". It matches the Rfam family "Bacterial small subunit ribosomal RNA", at positions 30 to 526 of the family's 1533-position model. The record is from RNAcentral.
AUUGAACGCUGGCGGCAGGCCUAACACAUGCAAGUCGAACGAGUGGCGGACGGGUGAGUAAUGUGUGGGAAACUUCCUGUUGGAGGGGGAUAACUACUGGAAACGGUAGCUAAUACCGCAUUCCAUCAGAUGUGCCCAGCUGGGAUUAGCUUGUUGGUGGGGUAACGGCUCACCACGGCGAUGAUCCCUAGCUGGCCGGAGAGGUUGACCACCCAAUCUGGAACGGGGACACGGUCCAGACUCCUACGGGAGGCAGAAGUGGGGAAUAUUGGACAAUGGGCACAAGCUUGAUGCAGCAAUGCCGCGGGUAUGAAGAAGGCCUUCGGGUUGUAAAGUACUUUAAGCGGGGAGGCGGUACCCGAAGAAGAAGCACCGGCUAACUCCGUGCCAGCAGCCGCGGUAAUUC